Non-coding RNA from Vicugna pacos (alpaca), 1228 nucleotides. NCBI's taxonomy places the organism in Eukaryota, Metazoa, Chordata, Mammalia, Artiodactyla, Camelidae. The record is from RefSeq and is a predicted model, not a curated record.
UUCAUAGAAUCGCACCCUGCAAACAACACAGCCAGAGAGGGUCUCCGUGAAACUCAAACCAAGGUCAGGGUGAAGUGCCCAUUGUGAGACCCCGGGGCCCCAUUUCUUACACAACUGUGUGCAGCACUUUUCACAGACCUGGACUGUGCUCUCCUGUUCCCCCUUCCCUACUAGAUUGGAAGCUCCAUGAGGUCAGGGACCAUGUGUCCACGUCCUCCCAUUUUCUGUCUCUCCAAAGGCCUUGCACGAUGUUGGGCACCGAGUCCAACUUGAUGGGUACUCACUGAGUUAGAAAUCAAGUACGACCCAGGACCAGGAGGCUUUGUGACUUCACUGUCCGCAGAAAAAACUUGUUUUGGGCAUCGUUAAACUCCUAUUACUAACCUCAGAGGGACUUUGCAGCCUGUGAGAUUAAUCCAGAGGCCCUCAGAUCUCCUGCAAGGUGCUUCCCAUCACCUCCAAGCCCAAGCCUGCAACCUCCCUCCGCUGCUGUCAGGGGAGAAAAGGAACGCUUCCCUGAGUCAGGCGAACAUCACAGACUGGUGUGGAACACAGACUUCUAGAUGCUGCAGACAUCAGGGCCACCACCUUUGUCAGCAGGUACCUGGAGAAAUCAUGGGAUGCAACCUGUAUUUUGAUGACAGUCGUGUAUGUAUCAUGGAAGCUAUACAGGAACACGUCUUUCCUCAAGUCCUGGGAGGCUCCAGAGUUGUGCUCCAGGGAUGCCACUCACACAGAUCACAAGACGAGGCCCUGCAGUGGACCCUCAAGCUGGGCAAUGCAGCUGCCCCACCCAACAGCUCUUCCGAAUGAGAGGGGCUGUCCGGUCUCCUGGGAAAUGCCCGAUUCUCUGCAGGAGGAGCCUAACCAGGGGCUGCAGCCUGUGACCCUGCUCAGUCCCUGUCGCUCAGUCUUCCCCUUCCAGGACUCUCACACUUGAGAAGGAUGGCGAGGAGAGGGGCAGGUGCAGUCUGGGAAGAGAGCUGCCCUACAAAGACACACCCCUGACAAGGCACUGCUUGACAGGAUUCCUCCAGUUUCUGGCAAUGGUGUUCCAGAAACACCAGGGUUAUUAAAUAGGGGAGGGGGCCGUGGAGUCUCCUUCCACAGGAACAAGUGGAGCCAUCCAGAGUGGGAAGGCCCUGAGUCAGUAAUUCUAUUCCUGCCCCUAAGAGAGAACAGGGGGAAAAGGACAAAUGGGUCCCAAGUAAAAGACAAAGCAAGACAA